GAUGAACGCUGGCGGCGUGCCUAAUACAUGCAAGUCGAGCGAACAGACGAGGAGCUUGCUCCUCUGACGUUAGCGGCGGACGGGUGAGUAACACGUGGAUAACCUACCUAUAAGACUGGGAUAACUUCGGGAAACCGGAGCUAAUACCGGAUAACAUAUUGAACCGCAUGGUUCAAUAGUGAAAGACGGUUUUGCUGUCACUUAUAGAUGGAUCCGCGCCGCAUUAGCUAGUUGGUAAGGUAACGGCUUACCAAGGCGACGAUGCGUAGCCGACCUGAGAGGGUGAUCGGCCACACUGGAACUGAGACACGGUCCAGACUCCUACGGGAGGCAGCAGUAGGGAAUCUUCCGCAAUGGGCGAAAGCCUGACGGAGCAACGCCGCGUGAGUGAUGAAGGUCUUCGGAUCGUAAAACUCUGUUAUUAGGGAAGAACAAAUGUGUAAGUAACUAUGCACGUCUUGACGGUACCUAAUCAGAAAGCCACGGCUAACUACGUGCCAGCAGCCGCAGUAA
RNAcentral lists this ribosomal RNA (513 nucleotides) under uncultured bacterium. RNAcentral describes it as "partial 16S ribosomal RNA". It matches the Rfam family "Bacterial small subunit ribosomal RNA", at positions 28 to 523 of the family's 1533-position model. The record is from RNAcentral.